CUUAGAGUUUGAUCCUGGCUCAGGAUGAACGCUGGCGGUAUGCUUAACACAUGCAAGUCGAACGGUGUCUUCGGACAUAGUGGCGGACGGGUGAGUAACGCGUGAGAAUCUAGCUUCAGGUCUGGGACAACCACUGGAAACGGUGGCUAAUACCGGAUGUGCCGGAAGGUGAAAGGCUUGCUGCCUGAAGAUGAGCUCGCGUCCGAUUAGCUAGUAGGUGGGGUAAGAGCCUACCUAGGCGACGAUCGGUAGCUGGUCUGAGAGGAUGACCAGCCACACUGGGACUGAGACACGGCCCAGACUCCUACGGGAGGCAGCAGUGGGGAAUUUUCCGCAAUGGGCGAAAGCCUGACGGAGCAAUACCGCGUGAGGGAGGAAGGCUCUUGGGUUGUAAACCUCUUUUCUCAGGGAAGAACACAAUGACGGUACCUGAGGAAUCAGCAUCGGCUAACUCCGUGCCAGCAGCCGCGGUAAUACGGAGGAUGCAAGCGUUAUCCGGAAUGAUUGGGCGUAAAGCGUCCGCAGGUGGCUGUGUAAGUCUGCUGUCAAAGAGCAAAGCUCAACUUUGUAAAGGCAGUGGAAACUACACGGCUAGAGUGCGUUCGGGGCAGAGGGAAUUCCUGGUGUAGCGGUGAAAUGCGUAGAGAUCAGGAAGAACACCGGUGGCGAAGGCGCUCUGCUAGGCCGCAACUGACACUGAGGGACGAAAGCUAGGGGAGCGAAUGGGAUUAGAUACCCCAGUAGUCCUAGCUGUAAACGAUGGA
RNAcentral lists this ribosomal RNA (764 nucleotides) under uncultured bacterium. RNAcentral's name for it is "bacterial SSU rRNA". It matches the Rfam family "Bacterial small subunit ribosomal RNA", at positions 1 to 813 of the family's 1533-position model. The record is from RNAcentral.